AACGAACGCUGGCGGCGUGGUUAAGACAUGCAAGUCGUACGGUUGCGUUGUAGCAAUAUGGCGCAAUAGUGGCGGACGGGUGAGUAAUGAAUAGGUAACGUACCCCGAACUCAGGGAUAGCGUCGGGAGGCUUGCUCCCUUUCGUCGAAAGUAGACGGUAAUACCUGAUGAUAUCCUCGGUUGGCAUCAAUUGAGGAUCAAAGGACGGGGGACCCGGCCAAGGGCCUGUUGGUUUGGGAGCGGCCAUUUCCUAUCAGCUAGUUGGUGAGGUAACGGCUCACCAAGGCAGCGACGGGUAGCCGGACUGAGAGGUUGACCGGCCACAUCGGGACUGAGACACUGCCCGGACACCUACGGGUGGCUGCAGU
Molecule: ribosomal RNA, 368 nt
Filed under: uncultured bacterium
Lineage: Bacteria
Description: bacterial SSU rRNA
Rfam family: Bacterial small subunit ribosomal RNA
Source: RNAcentral